This 516-nucleotide ribosomal RNA is filed under the name uncultured bacterium. RNAcentral's name for it is "bacterial SSU rRNA". It matches the Rfam family "Bacterial small subunit ribosomal RNA", at positions 993 to 1509 of the family's 1533-position model. The record is from RNAcentral.
GAACUUAGCAGAGAUGCUUUGGUGCCUUCGGGAACUCUGAGACAGGUGCUGCAUGGCUGUCGUCAGCUCGUGUUGUGAAAUGUUGGGUUAAGUCCCGNAACGAGCGCAACCCUUAUCCUUUGUUGCCAGCGGUUCGGCCGGGAACUCAAAGGAGACUGCCGGUGAUAAACCGGAGGAAGGUGGGGAUGACGUCAAGUCAUCAUGGCCCUUACGGCCAGGGCUACACACGUGCUACAAUGGCGCAUACAAAGAGAAGCGACCUCGCGAGAGCAAGCGGACCUCAUAAAGUGCGUCGUAGUCCGGAUUGGAGUCUGCAACUCGACUCCAUGAAGUCGGAAUCGCUAGUAAUCGUAGAUCAGAAUGCUACGGUGAAUACGUUCCCGGGCCUUGUACACACCGCCCGUCACACCAUGGGAGUGGGUUGCAAAAGAAGUAGGUAGCUUAACCUUCGGGAGGGCGCUUACCACUUUGUGAUUCAUGACUGGGGUGAAGUCGUAACAAGGUAGGCGUAGCGAG